This 456-nucleotide transfer RNA is filed under the name Acer palmatum subsp. amoenum. RNAcentral describes it as "partial transfer RNA-Leu". The stretch from base 395 to 456 matches the Rfam family "tRNA", at positions 1 to 59 of the family's 71-position model. Lineage: Eukaryota; Viridiplantae; Streptophyta; Magnoliopsida; Sapindales; Sapindaceae. The record is from RNAcentral.
AAAAUCCGUCGACUUUAGAAAUCGUGAGGGUUCAAGUCCCUCUAUCCCCCCAAAAAGACCGAUUUGACUAUKUCUCCUACCCUCUCUUUUUUUUAGUGGUUCCAAAUUUGUUCUCUUUCUCAUUCAUUCUACCUUUUUACAAACGUAUCAGAGCAGAAUUUUUUUCUUUUAUCACAAUCACAAGUGGUGUGGUAUAUAUGAUAUACGUACAAAUGAACAUCUUUGAACAAAGAAUCCCGAUUCACAAUUCAUAUCAUUGCUCAUACUGAAACUUAUAAAUUAUUCUAUUCAAGAAAUCUAAUUCCACGCUCAAGACUUUUAAUACUUUUUUUAUCUUUUUUAAUUGACAUAGACCCCAGUCAUCUAGUAAAAUAAGGAUGAUGCGCCGGUAAUGGUCGGGAUAGCUCAGCUGGUAGAGCAGAGGACUGAAAAUCCUCGUGUCACCAGUGCAAUAUC